GAUGAACGCUGGCGGCGUGCCUAAUACAUGCAAGUCGAACGAAACUUCUUUAUCACCGAGUGCUUGCACUCACCGAUAAAGAGUUGAGUGGCGAACGGGUGAGUAACACGUGGGCAACCUGCCCAAAAGAGGGGGAUAACACUUGGAAACAGGUGCUAAUACCGCAUAACCAUAGUUACCGCAUGGUAACUAUGUAAAAGGUGGCUAUACUACCGCUUUUGGAUGGGCCCGCGGCGCAUUAGCUAGUUGGUAGGGUAAAGGCUUACCAAGGCAAUGAUGCGUAGCCGAAUUGAGAGGUUGAUCGGACACAUUGGGACUGAGACACGGCCCAAACUCCUACGGGAGGCAGCAGUAGGGAAUCUUCCACAAUGGGCGAAAGCCUGAUGGAGCAACGCCGCGUGGGUGAAGAAGGUCUUCGGAUCGUAAAACCCUGUUGUUAGAGAAGAAAGUGCGUGAGAGUAACUGUUCACGUUUCGACGGUAUCUAACCAGAAAGCCACGGCUAACUACGUG
Molecule: ribosomal RNA, 512 nt
Filed under: uncultured bacterium
Lineage: Bacteria
Description: partial 16S ribosomal RNA
Rfam family: Bacterial small subunit ribosomal RNA
Source: RNAcentral